UGGGCCCAGAUCGUUUACCGUGAAAAAAUUAGAGUGUUCAAAGCAGGCAGAUCCAAUUUUCUGCCACCGAAUACAUUAGCAUGGGAUAAUGGAAUAGGACCCUGUCCUCCUAUUUUCAGUUGGUUUUGGCAGCGCGAGGACUAGGGUAAUGAUUAAUAGGGAUAGUUGGGGGCAUUAAUAUUUAAUUGUCAGAGGUGAAAUUCUUGGAUUUAUGAAAGAUUAACUUCUGCGAAAGCAUCUGCCAAGGAUGUUUUCAUUAAUCAAGAACGAAAGUUAGGGGAUCGAAGACGAUCAGAUACCGUCGUAGUCUUAACCAUAAACGAUGCCGACCAGCGAUUAGGAGACGUUGAAUACAAAACACCACCAUCGGUGCGGUCGUCCUUGGCGUCGGUCUUUCGUGGCCGGCGCGGGACGGCUAGGCCGGRMCCYMG
This 431-nucleotide ribosomal RNA is filed under the name Acanthamoeba genotype T4. Its description in RNAcentral is "SSU rRNA". The record is from RNAcentral. Lineage: Eukaryota; Discosea; Longamoebia; Acanthamoebidae.